UACGUAGGGCGCAAGCGUUGUCCGGAAUUAUUGGGCGUAAAGAGCGUGUAGGCGGCCCGAUUAGUCCGCUGUGAAAGUCCAGGGCUCAACCCUGGAAUGCCGGUGGAUACUGUCGGGCUAGAGUCCGGAAGGGGCGAGUGGAAUUCCUGGUGUAGCGGUGAAAUGCGCAGAUAUCAGGAGGAACACCAAUGGCGAAGGCAGCUCGCUGGGACGUGACUGACGCUGAGACGCGAAAGCGUGGGGAGCAAACAGG
RNAcentral lists this ribosomal RNA (253 nucleotides) under uncultured bacterium. Its description in RNAcentral is "partial 16S ribosomal RNA". It matches the Rfam family "Bacterial small subunit ribosomal RNA", at positions 524 to 776 of the family's 1533-position model. The record is from RNAcentral.